UGCUCCUUGUAAAGGGGCAUCUUGUACGUAUUUAUUAAAAACUGAAAAAUUUACAGUUUUUAAGAAAAAUCGAAAUUUCGGUAUUUUACCAUUAACAUGUACUUUAUUAAAUCGAAAAUCUUGCAUAACUUUUUUGUUAUUAACGAUAGAGCCUUCAUUUAAAAAGUGUCAAGUGCUCCUUGUAAAGGGGCAUCUUGUACGUAUUUAUUAAAAACUGAAAAAUUUACAGUUUUUGAGAAAAAUCGAAAUUUCGGUAUUUUACCAUUAACAUGUACUUUAUUAAAUCGAAAAUCUUGCAUAACUUUUUUGUUAUUAACGAUAGAGCCUUCAUUUAAAAAGUGUCAAGUGCUCCUUGUAAAGGGGCAUCUUGUACGUAUUUAUUAAAAACUGAAAAAUUUACAGUUUUUGAGAAAAAUCGAAAUUUCGAUAUUUUACCAUUAACAUGUACUUUAUUAGAUCGAAAAUCUUGCAUAACUUUUUUGUUAUUAAAGAUAGAGCCUUCAUUUAAAAGGUGUCAAGUGCUCCUUGUAAAGGGGCAUCUUGUACGUAUUUAUUAAAAACUGAAAAAUUUACAGUUUUUGAGAAAAAUCGAAAUUUCGGUAUUUUACCAUUAACAUGUACUUUAUUAGAUCGAAAAUCUUGCAUAACUUUUUUGUUAUUAAAGAUAGAGCCUUCAUUUAAAAGGUGUCAAGUGCUCCUUGUAAAGGGGCAUCUUGUACGUAUUUAUUAAAAACUGAAAAAUUUACAGUUUUUGAGAAAAAUCGAAAUUUCGGUAUUUUACCAUUAACAUGUACUUUAUUAGAUCGAAAAUCUUGCAUAACUUUUUUGUUAUUAAAGAUAGAGCCUUCAUUUAAAAGGUGUCAAGUGCUCCUUGUAAAGGGGCAUCUUGUACGUAUUUAUUAUAAACUGAAAAAUUUACAGUUUUUAAGAAAAAUCGAAAUUUCGGUAUUUUACCAUUAACAUGUACUUUAUUAAAUCGAAAAUCUUGCAUAACUUUUUUGUUAUUAAAGAUAGAGCCUUCAUUUAAAAGGUGUCAAGUGCUCCUUGUAAAGGGGCAUCUUGUACGUAUUUAUUAUAAACUGAAAAAUUUACAGUUUUUAAGAAAAAUCGAAAUUUCGGUAUUUUACCAUUAACAUGUACUUUAUUAAAUCGAAAAUCUUGCAUAACUUUUUUGUUAUUAAAGAUAGAGCCUUCAUUUAAAAGGUGUCAAGUGCUCCUUGUAAAGGGGCAUCUUGUACGUAUUUAUUAUAAACUGAAAAAUUUACGGUUUUUGAGAAAAAUCGAAAUUUCGGUAUUUUACCAUUAACAUGUACUUUAUUAAAUCGAAAAUCUUGCAUAACUUUUUUGUUAUUAACGAUAGAGCCUUCAUUUAAAAAGUGUCAAGUGCUCCUUGUAAAGGGGCAUCUUGUACGUAUUUAUUAAAAACUGAAAAAUUUACAGUUUUUGAGAAAAAUCGAAAUUUCGGUAUUUUACCAUUAACAUGUACUUUAUUAAAUCGAAAAUCUUGCAUAACUUUUUUUGUUAUU
Anthonomus grandis grandis is the source of this 1526-nucleotide long non-coding RNA. RefSeq lists it as uncharacterized. Lineage: Eukaryota; Metazoa; Arthropoda; Insecta; Coleoptera; Curculionidae. The transcript has 5 exons. The record is from RefSeq and is a predicted model, not a curated record.